UUAUCUAAAAGUCAAAACUUUUCUACUCAAGAUUUUCAAGAUGGUCAGAUUGCCACAAUGGAAGAUAGCAAGGAGACUGUCAGUAUUUUAAAUAUUGAAGCUUUGGAUGAUACAAGUGAUGUGCAAUCAAUUGUCACUAUUCCUGAUGAGGAACUAACUCAAUCUACAUCCAGCUGCAAUAAACGAAGGAACUCUGAUGAUAAAAAAACUUUGAAUAAAAUAGCAAAAACUGAACCAGUGAGAAAAAAUAAAAAAACAAAUU
Non-coding RNA from Hydra vulgaris (swiftwater hydra), 262 nucleotides. The record is from RefSeq and is a predicted model, not a curated record. Lineage: Eukaryota; Metazoa; Cnidaria; Hydrozoa; Anthoathecata; Hydridae.